Molecule: long non-coding RNA, 3676 nt
Organism: Ictalurus punctatus (channel catfish)
Lineage: Eukaryota; Metazoa; Chordata; Actinopteri; Siluriformes; Ictaluridae
Source: Ensembl
UUUUGGGAGGUCGAGCGCUGUGUAAAUGUAUGACUUCAUGUUUCCUUUUGGUGGCAGCCAUGUUGCAAGCUUUGCAUUAUUUAAGACUCCAGAUCCAUGUAUUUACUUUGCACAUUUAGUCGAAGUACAGUGUGUGUGUGUGUGUGUGUGUGUGUGUGUGUGUGUGUAUGAGAGAGAGAGAAUCCCAAGUGUAAUAAAAAAGUACUUGUGUGAUCUGACAGAUAUUGACUUUAGACUGUAGACAUGUGUUAGCAAACAUAGUAUUCAUGAACAAAGAGGACUAGUGUGUGUGUGUGUGUGUGUGUGUGUGUGCGUGCGUGCGCGUGUCUGUUAUGACCUUAACUAUGGCAUGAGGUAAAGUAUACCGAGAUCAUUCGCUGAAGCAUGUUCAAUCCAUCCAGCUAUGAAUCUUACACAUCUAAAUAUCAUUACCGAGCAUGCUGUUAUAUUUAUUAACAGCUUUCUUUCCACACGAAGAAUUCCGUUCUCUGACGUCAUCGUUUAUACGUUUAAACGUGACCGGAACAUGACUCGCCGUCUGAUUAAUUAAUCUACUAAAACAAAUUUUUACAACCUUUUUUUUUUUUUUCUUUCCUCGCCGCAAGGACAUCGCGCAGCAUUAUUGAUGUAUAAAUCAGGCAAUUUAAUGAUUGCCGAGCGCUCCAGCUAAUGUUAUUUCCCUGAAACAGAUAACAAUAAUAAUAUGCAUGUCUCUCGGAGCUCAUAAAUAUUGUACUCAAUCUCAGCAGAGAGGGUGCAUAUGCAUAAAAGAGCACUUGAGGUGUGUGCGUGUGGGACUCGUAUGCAGAGCGCCCUUUGUUAAGAGAUGAGAAGUUCGACCCCGGUGACCCAGUCGCUGCCUGGCUAUGCAUAUAAAAACAGGAGUCGGCAUUAAUAUCUCGCCUAAUGACCUCGGCGAAUGAAAGCCCAUUAAGGUAAUGACAUCGCCGCUGAGACCUUGAUGUUUUCUUAUUCUCCAAGCAUGCACAGAGGCAAAGGCUUAAUGAGAAAACAUUCAUAUUGUCAUGAUAUUAAAAUGAAAUGCAUAUAUUUUUCUUGCUCUCACUCUCUCUCUCUCUCUCUCUCUCGCUUUUUUUUUCUUAAAAAAUAAAUCACUACUGUGCUGCAGUGUGUUUUCAUUUUGUACUAAAUGAGCUAGGAGGAGUUUCUCACACCUCCCUGUAGUAAAGCCCUUUGUGUCAGGGGAAAAAAAAAACCCCAACAACAAAAAAACAAACAAAUAGAUGCUCAGCCGGUGCGUUUUCACCUCCGUGAUGAAUGGAGACCAAUCUUGGGUUUGUUCUCUAUAGGAUUUGUGCUGGAUGGAGUCCAGUCUCGUCGCCUUUCUGUUCCUGAUCAGACCGUCAGAUGCUUAUUGGACAAUCUGCCCUGACUCCAGAAGACCGCCUCUCCAGGUUUUGUCCCUCGGGGUUGAUGUGGGCAAGUUUCCUGUGCCCUCUGAUGGAGUUCUGGGUGGCUGAAAUCCCCUUGGCGUGUAUACAGAAGCUCCCUGGAAAGCUCGAUAUCCGUGGUACAGUCCAGCGGAAUCAGGAAGCGGCGAGGCUGUCUACUCAGCACGUAUUUGCAUGCGACGCAUAUCUGAGCCCGGAAUGCCAGCUUUCCGCCUCUCAUUAGGCAAAAGAGGGGGAGUCCGCAUCGCAUCUCUUGCCACCCCCCACCCCUUGCCCGCCCCUCUCCCUCCCCUCGCAGACAUGCGUUCAAACCACACACACACACGCACACACCUCUCUUGGUGGAACAGAUCCUCAGCAGUGUCGUGUGUGUGUGUGUGUUUAUGGAACUUGUAGAGCAGGUUGUUCUUAAGCAUGGGUGUCACGUGAGCACGCUGCAAGCCAACGGUGGUUCCUUUCUGCAACGCAACAAGUGGCAGAGUCAGCAGCGCGCAGUCAUGCAGCACCACCAGCGCUGGCACCAUGCCAGACCUGCCAUCUGUCUCCUCCACACGCUUUGCCCCCCACUCCCAUCACUUGACCGUGCAUUUCGUAAUAUUCCGUUUCCUGCCAUCCCUACGGCAUGUUGGAGGCUUGUUCCACACGCCUCGCCCCCGCCGUGAUAAAUGGCUCUCCAGGGACCAGGUGGCAUAAUGCCAAUGCCACUCCGGUGCCACAUGCACAACAAAGCAGUGCUCAUAUAUAUAUACAUAUAAAGCACAUACACACAUGCACUUAAAACCCCUCGUCCAGAAAUAGUCCAUAUCUCCUGGUACCCUCAAGGUUCUCCAUUCUCCUGGUUCUUGGUGGAGGUUUUCUCUCCUCCUAUUCCAGUGCGUGUCCCGUUGAGGAUGCUGGCACCUUAACACACCCCACCACUGCGUUCCUCAUUGGGGUGCCUGCUGCUGCCGCCGCCGCCGCUGCCUGUUUUUACCUCCCCGAGCUCUGCCACCGAGUCUGCCUCCUGCCUGGGAAAACGAGGGAAUGCUGUGGGAUCUAUUGCACGCGCGAGCUGUUUGAAGCUGCAGAAAAGUGAAUAAUCAAUUAAGUAUUGAUUUCUUGUAGGAUUUUGUAAAUUUCAAAGGCAAGACAAAGAGGAUAGCUUAAGGAAAGGAUGACACGGAAACCCUGUGUAAAUUAGCCGGCAGAACGCGCUGUGGAAUAAACUAACGCUUCAUCAGGAUUUUUUUUUGUCUUCCCGGAAUUAACAGCAGUUUGCUCGGAGACAACGCCGCUUAUUAAACCAGAGUUUAACCCAGCCACAGCGAGCCAGACUAAUUACGCCACCCUGCACAAUGGAGCUCAUUUGAAUGUGGUUAUGCAAAUCGCACUCGCUACCUUUCUUUUUUUUUUUUUUUUAUGGAUCAAAAAGCCAGCCAUGCUGGGAAGAAUUAGAGCCUAUUAUGCGGGUGAAGCACUUUAAUUUUAUUUUUUUUUGAGCAGAAGAAGGGAGGGGGAAAAGAAAAACCGCGAUCAAUUAUACGGCGACAACUGAUGAUCCGCGCAUACAGAUGGAGUCCUCAACGAUUGAUAAUUAUUGUCGCUGGGCACGCUGAAACUUGCUAAUGCGGACUGAUAACUGGAGAGAAACGUUCGCCGCUAAUGGCAUUCAGCAUACAUGUCUUACGCGUGAUGACAACGGGCAAUUAUAAUGAAGCAUUCAUUUCACUAUGCAGAUAACCAGCGCUGACUGGGAAGGAGAUGAAACGAGGCGAGCAAACUUGUGUCUGUCUUUGUCCUGGCACCGAUUAUCCAUCCAGGAACAACGUGGAUUCAUUUACAGUUUAAAAAAAAAAACAGCAAGAAAAAUCACAGGAAAAAUCGAGGAGGCGAUUAGCAGCUGAUUAAAAAUUAAGAGGCGGAUUAACGAGCCUCGGCGACGUCGUCCUUGGCACGGUCCAUACAUCUGGUAAAAGGAAAAUCCUGUCUCUGUCUGGCAACCGUGUGUGUGUGUGUGUGUGCGCAGUGUGUCUCCAGCCUCGUUGCCUCUCCGCCCAUCCUGCUUUGCAUAUAUGCAGACGCUGUGGGGGUCUGGAAUAAACAGCAGAAUGUUAAACAAGCGGAUUUACAUGUGAGAGCGAUAGCAUUGGUGCGUCGUCUCUAGAAAAGGGUGGGCUUUUCAGGUACAGGAUAUGAUGCAAGAGAAAACCGCACCGAGGGAUCGUGGGGGAUCACGUCAGAGUCCGUUACGACAUGUACUUUGACAGACACCCCCCCUGUUUUCC